This 274-nucleotide long non-coding RNA is filed under the name Elaeis guineensis (African oil palm). RNAcentral's name for it is "long non-coding RNA (EGUI_LNC053270)". Lineage: Eukaryota; Viridiplantae; Streptophyta; Magnoliopsida; Arecales; Arecaceae. The record is from RNAcentral.
GCCAGACUUAAAUAGCUCAAGUCCAAUCAUGAAUCUCAUGAGAACUCCUUUCCAUAAUCAUGCUGUUAUAGCCAUAAACUUAUAGACUCAGUCUCUUAUGUCGCAUAGAAUUACUCCUCAACUACUAAGGCCGAUAGAUCCCUUAUAAGUGCACUCCUACUCCUACAAUGAAUCUACUGCAGCCAAUGUCGACUAUAAGGAUCCAUAUGGCUAAGAAUCAUAUUUAUAUAUAGUCAAAUUAUAGUAAUCCCACUAUGAGAAGUCGAGGCACCAC